GCCUUUUCCCACCUGUGUUUUGUGGGUAGUUGUUAUUUUGUUUUGUGUUUCUGUACCUGACAGGACUGUUUUGGUUUGAGUUCAUUCGCUUUGUUAUUUUUGUUAUUUCAGUGUUCAGUUCAUAUAAAGUAUGAACACGUACCACAGUGCGUUUUGGUCGCCAUCUUCCAACAGCCAUUACACAGUAUCUGGUGUGACCACCAUUUGCCUCAUGCAGCGAAACACAUCUCCUUCACAUGGAGUUCAUCAGGCUGUUGAUUGUGGCGUGUGGAAUGUCCUCUUCAAUGGCCGUGCGAAGUUGCUGAAUAUUGACGGGAACUGGAAAACAUUGCCGUACACGUCGAUCCAGAGCAUCCCAAACGUGCUCAAUGGACAGAGCAUGGACACAAUGCAAUUGGGAUCAAAAAGAAGCUCUUCUCAGAAAUGAAUCAAGUCCAUGGAAUAGAUAUAAACAAAAAGAUAAUUCAAGGACUAGCAAGAGGUAAAGGACAACACGAGGACUCGAGACCACAGCAGCGAUCCUGCUCUUGCCCUACCUCUUCUAUGAGAACCAGAGUGGCCUUUAUGUCCGUGACAAGUGCACAUCGACUGAAAUCCAUUUCACCAUGAGAGUGAAUUCCUGCUGGCCUUUGAUUGGGAGAACAUCCAUGCCCUAGAGGACGUCCCCAUGGGACUUGUGGCUCUGCUAGGGCUGUAUUCUUUAUUUUCAGUUCAAUUUCCCCAAAAUGUCAGAAAAACACUGAUGUUCUUAUGUUACUGUGUUCUGGGGAUAAGAGAAGUUGGGGUGAAGUUACCAGGGACGGUAAUGAAGAUGGCACACUUCCUAACAUAACUAAGUGGUUGUUGGACACACACACACUAAAGCUAAAAUAAAUCUGUAUUUAGCAUCAAGUUUACAAUAUUGUUAAUUUACUUAUGAUUCAUUUUUAAUGUUUUUAUUGUACAUCAUUAUUUAAUAAAAAUGUAAAAAAUGUCAUGAAAAGCACUA
Molecule: long non-coding RNA, 988 nt
Organism: Oncorhynchus tshawytscha (Chinook salmon)
Lineage: Eukaryota; Metazoa; Chordata; Actinopteri; Salmoniformes; Salmonidae
Source: Ensembl